CAAAUUGACCCGACCGAAAAUGACCCAGAAUCGGGUCAAAUGACCCGAUUGGCUGACAGCCAUUGUAAAAUAUUCAAGAUGGCGGACGAACUGUCAAAUGACCGUGAAGUUUCCGAAAAAGGAUUUAAAACAUCACACUGGAUUACAACAAUAAAUUAUCAGUGCAUUUCAUGUGAAUAAUGGAUUAUUAACUAAGAGACAUUAUCACCUUGUGGAACGACAUGAUUCAAACGCUCAAGUAAGAAUAACUUGUCAAGUUUUGAAAUCUUGAAAGGUCAAAAACUAUCUCAGGAUUACCCAAGAUUCAAAGGUAAAAUGGCGGUGUACACGCUGAAUUACAAAGAAAAUAUGUGAACUUUGUGAAAUUCCCGACAAGAGUUAUUACGUUUUGCUGUGUUAGUGCCAUAAAACAACAGGUUUGAGAUCAGUACAUGUUAUGCAAAUAAUGUUAAACCUGUACAUCAAUAAUUUACUGAAUAACUUGGUACUUAUUAAAUAUUUUGCAUGAACAAUGCUUGAAAAAAAUGGACUUUAUCCAGGAUAAUAUUACUAACAACACUUAGUGACUAUUAAUGAUCUUGGCAUGAUGGACACAGGGCUAGCCCGUCUGUAAUAUCAGGAUGGCACUAAGCACUGGCCUAAAAUGCCAAGGUUUGAAAACUUCAAAAUAUCUUUCCAUGAAUAGACAAAGGUUGGCAUCGGCGAUGGUAGAUGCACGUUACGGUUUUAUCUGAUGCUGCGCUUACUGUUCAGGGAAAUGAAUAUGGUCGGUUUGACCAAACAGUUUGUGUAGAGACCGUACUGGAAAGACUCAGGCGGCUGAAAUAUUCGAUGUAUGGGCGUAUAAUAAAGGCAUGGACUGCUAUGACAGACACAGAGUCAGAGGCGGUAAUCACGUGGUAUAUUGUUUUGAUACCAAGCAUUAAAAAAUGGCAGCGCCCAGUGAGACGCCUGAUAAACUAGUCGUUGAAGAGCUGGUUUCACAACAUCUAAUGGUAGUUAUAGUAUGUUUUAAACUUUGUGUAUUAGUCC
This is a long non-coding RNA of Mya arenaria, 1032 nucleotides long. RefSeq lists it as uncharacterized. The transcript is spliced from 3 exons. Lineage: Eukaryota; Metazoa; Mollusca; Bivalvia; Myida; Myidae. The record is from RefSeq and is a predicted model, not a curated record.